CCUACGGGAUGCAGCAGUGAGGAAUAUUGGUCAAUGGCCGUAAGGCUGAACCAGCCAAGUCGCUUGAAUGAAGCAGGAUCUAUGGUUUGUAAACUUCUUUUAUAGGGGAAUACAUUUAUCCACGUGUGGAUAUUUGCAUGUACCCUAUGAAUAAGCAUCGGCUAGCUCCGUGCCAGCAGCCGCGGUAAUACGGAGGAUGCGAGCGUUAUCCGGAUUUAUUGGGUUUAACGGGUGCGUAGGUUGUUUUUUAAGUCAGCUGUGAAAGUUUGUGGCUCAACCAUAAAAUUGCCUUUGAAACUGGAAGACGUGAGUGUGGUUGAGGUAGGCGGAAUGCGUGGUGUAGCGGUGAAAUGCAUAGAUAUCACGAAGAACUCCGAUUGCGAAGGCAGCUUACUAAGCCAUAACUGACACUGAGGCACGAAAGCGUGGGGAUCAAACAGGAUUAGAUACCCUUGUAGUC
This 460-nucleotide ribosomal RNA is filed under the name uncultured bacterium. RNAcentral's name for it is "partial 16S ribosomal RNA". It matches the Rfam family "Bacterial small subunit ribosomal RNA", at positions 338 to 795 of the family's 1533-position model. The record is from RNAcentral.